Molecule: long non-coding RNA, 344 nt
Filed under: Pelusios castaneus (West African mud turtle)
Lineage: Eukaryota; Metazoa; Chordata; Testudines; Pelomedusidae
Description: lncRNA (ENSPCEG00000009431.1)
Source: RNAcentral
CCAUGGCGAAGGGCUAAACAGAGAUACAGAGACAUACAGACAGAGAGAAAGAAUCCCACUAAGGUUGGGGAAAGACCUCAAAUUGUCCCAGGGAAACGGAAAACAAAAGCUGAGAUUGGCAUAAAGAACAUAGGAGCCUGUGCUCAGCAGUAAAGGAUGUCAGCCUGCCAACCAGUACCAAAGAGAAUGUGACACAGGUAUAGUAACGAAAUCUCCUAGACAGAUCCCGUUAGAUUCAUAGAUCCCUAGGUUUUAAGCCGGAAGAGACCAUGACGAUAACCUAGUUGGGCGUCCUGCAGAACACAAACCAGGAAUUUCACCCAGUGACUCUGUCGGGAGCCUGG